This 378-nucleotide ribosomal RNA is filed under the name uncultured eukaryote. RNAcentral describes it as "partial 18S ribosomal RNA". It matches the Rfam family "Eukaryotic small subunit ribosomal RNA", at positions 592 to 975 of the family's 1831-position model. The record is from RNAcentral.
CAAUAGCGUAUAUUAAAGUUGUUGCAGUUAAAAAGCUCGUAGUUGGAAUUCGGGAUGGGAAUGGCGGUCUGCCUAACGGUAUGUACCGCCACUGCCCAUUCUUCCUUUCGUAGACCCUGUCUGUCCUUAACUGGAUGGGCAGUGGGAUGCGGAUCUUUUACUUUGAAUAAAUUAGAGUGUUCAAAGCAGGCCUUUGCUUGAAUAUACUAGCAUGGAAUAAUGGAAUAGGACUUUGGUUCUAUUUUGUUGGUUUCUAGGACCGAAGUAAUGAUUAAUAGGGAUAGUUGGGGGCAUUAAUAUUUAGUUGUCAGAGGUGAAAUUCUUGGAUUUACGAAAGAUUAACUUCUGCGAAAGCAUUUGCCAAGGAUGUUUUCAUUA